AGUGAACGCUGGCGGUAGGCCUAACACAUGCAAGUCGAACGGCGGCACAGUAAGAGCUUGCUCUUACGGGUGGCGAGUGGCGGACGGGUGAGGAAUACAUCGGAAUCUACUUUUUCGUGGGGGAUAACGUAGGGAAACUUACGCUAAUACCGCAUACGACCUACGGGUGAAAGCAGGGGAUCUUCGGACCUUGCGCGAUUGAAUGAGCCGAUGUCGGAUUAGCUAGUUGGCGGGGUAAAGGCCCACCAAGGCGACGAUCCGUAGCUGGUCUGAGAGGAUGAUCAGCCACACUGGAACUGAGACACGGUCCAGACUCCUACGGGAGGCAGCAGUGGGGAAUAUUGGACAAUGGGCGCAAGCCUGGUCCAGCCAUACCGCGUGGGUGAAGAAGGCCUUCGGGUUGUAAAGCCCUUUUGUUGGGAAAGAAAAGCAGCAGGUUAAUACCCCGCUGUUCUGACGGUACCCAAAGAAUAAGCACCGGCUAACUUCGUG
This 492-nucleotide ribosomal RNA is filed under the name uncultured bacterium. RNAcentral's name for it is "partial 16S ribosomal RNA". It matches the Rfam family "Bacterial small subunit ribosomal RNA", at positions 29 to 507 of the family's 1533-position model. The record is from RNAcentral.